Molecule: long non-coding RNA, 1808 nt
Organism: Sorghum bicolor (sorghum)
Lineage: Eukaryota; Viridiplantae; Streptophyta; Magnoliopsida; Poales; Poaceae
Exons: 3
Source: RefSeq, a predicted model, not a curated record
AUCAGCAAAAACACUACCUUGAAUUUUUUUUACAUCUAUAUAGAAUUUUUACCAGCCAGUAUUUAGCUAUAUAAACUUCUUGCUUAGAGCUCCUGCUUAGGCCCUGUUUGGGACGAAGGUGUGUAUAAGUGGGCUGUGUAUAAGCGGAAUGCGGCUCUCUGCCCGCGAUUUGCAUUUUGGCCGCUCCCCGUUCAUCAGCCCGCUUUUCACGUAGCUAGCGCGCGGCCAUCCACCGCGCGUCAAACGCGGACCGUUCGGUGGGAUUUUUUCGCGUUUUCCACUGAAAUGUGCUGCUGAUGCGGAACCAAACAGGGCCUAGCAUAUCUUUUGCUAAUUUUCUGCCUAUAUGGCCAGUUUAAAACUGAUGGCCUGUGGGUGAGGUUGGGGAUAAGAUAUUGUAAUAAGGUCCAUGUGGUUUCAAUAAAUAAAAUGGUUUAUGACAUUUGUGCAGUAGUUAUUGAUGUGUCUAGUUGGCAAGCUGCAAGGCCAUGGAUCUGUUAAUGUAAUGUUUGCUACAGUGAAGGCAAUGCGAUUAUGAAUCCAAUAUUUCUGGGCCAAAUUUUGGUGCGCCGCGGUCCUUGCAGGGACCAUAGUAGGGGCUUGGUAGUUGUAUAGUUGAAUCAGUAUUCUGUUCUAGUGGCUCCGUGUUCAAUAUAAUCAUUCAUCAAUCAUCUUGGUCCCAACUCUUUUGAACAUAAGGGCAUAUUUAUAAAAAUAAUUAUGUUGACGACGACCACAGAAAAGGCUAUCUAGGAUGCUUCAUGAGUCCUUCCUCAGCUGAUGAUGAGAGAGCUACAAUGGUCAAGAGACAUGAGGGAAACAUGUAGGGUCCUGAGUUUCAAGAAGUAGCCUCCUUUGUUAGUUGUGUAAGGAGAACUGGAGAUGUCAAUAGGCUACAUGCUUUUGGCAACAUUAAUUCAGUUAGGACGGUGCUGGAUGGUUCAACUAACUUGCUCGACAAUCUCUUAUCUCCAUUGUAUGUUGUGUCCCUGUUAGUCAACAACAUCUCACAUGCCCUCAAUUUCCUUUGUUUCUUCCUGCCAUUCCUUGUAGGUCUCUUCAAGAAGACUGCAGUUAUCUGAAUAACAUUUUGGCCAUUUCUUUUCUAAAUCGAGUUUUUUCAGUAAAUCUCAAGUGGAAUAGUAUUAUCAAGGGAUCAAGAUGGUUACCUUCUCUGGAUCAUAUGUUAGAAUGGUCAGUACAUGAACACAGGAAACCUACCAACUUACAUGUUGGAAUUGUAUGCACAGGUACAUAUGUGGUAGAACAGGGGAGGGUUUGCAUCUUGGUCCCAGGGUCUCAGCUAUCAUAAAUGGCAAGCUGGCAAGGGACAAACCCAUGAGCUUCCCUGGUGAGAUGUUCCUAUCUAUGGUUUGGAAAUUCAAUGCACUGGACCAUAGUUUUGCACAUGGUGGAGCCAUCUUUCCUGGCUUGGUAUGCGAUCGCUUCAGCCUACUGGAGUGGGCCUAAUUUUGACUCGAUGGUACAAAUUGUUGGGUCCAGUUUUCGUGGAAAGGUCUAGUUUUUCCAUUUUGCCUUUUUUUUUUCUGAGAUAUAAACAUGAUUGCUGACUUACUCACCCCUGUUAUACAGGGUCAGUUCACCCAAUCCUGUGUUGUUUGAUGAGGAUUAAAUAUUAAAGAUGUACAUUCCUCUGCCCCUUGUGAUUUUAUUUGCAGAUUAUUUUGCAUUUGCAGAAUUCCAUCUUGUCCCUUUUCCAGUGUGUUCAGUGCAACGGAAACAAGAUAAAAAUGGUUGCGAAUUAGCCAACACAUUUUCUUGAAAAUUGUUCAUAUCUAAUGUACAAA